This 74-nucleotide transfer RNA is filed under the name Chloroflexota bacterium. Its description in RNAcentral is "Chloroflexi bacterium tRNA-Pro". It matches the Rfam family "tRNA". From Rfam's summary of the family: Transfer RNA (tRNA) molecules are approximately 80 nucleotides in length. Their secondary structure includes four short double-helical elements and three loops (D, anti-codon, and T loops). The record is from RNAcentral. Lineage: Bacteria; Bacillati; Chloroflexota.
CGGGGCGUGGCGCAGUCCGGUAGCGCGCGCGGUUUGGGUCCGCGAGGUCCUCGGUUCAAAUCCGGGCGCCCCGA